AUACCUACGGGGGGCAGCAGUGGGGGAUAUUGCACAAUGGGGGAAACCCUGAUGCAGCGACGCCGCGUGAGUGAAGAAGUAUUUCGGUAUGUAAAGCUCUAUCGGCAGGGAAGAAAAUGACGGUACCUGAGUAAGAAGCCCCGGCUAACUACGUGCCAGCAGCCGCGGGAAUACGUAGGGGGCAAGCGUUAUCCGGAUUUACUGGGUGUAAAGGGAGCGUAGACGGCGAUGCAAGUCUGAAGUGAAAGCCCGGGGUGUAACCCCGGGACUGCUUUGGAAAAUGUAUGGCUGG
RNAcentral lists this ribosomal RNA (292 nucleotides) under uncultured bacterium. RNAcentral's name for it is "partial 16S ribosomal RNA". It matches the Rfam family "Bacterial small subunit ribosomal RNA", at positions 335 to 644 of the family's 1533-position model. The record is from RNAcentral.